RNAcentral lists this long non-coding RNA (948 nucleotides) under Nicotiana benthamiana. Its description in RNAcentral is "long non-coding RNA (NBEN_LNC036372)". Lineage: Eukaryota; Viridiplantae; Streptophyta; Magnoliopsida; Solanales; Solanaceae. The record is from RNAcentral.
GCAAACUAUGCCUAUCAUGGUUUUUAAUUUCAUACAAUCAUUGGCCAUUCAUCACAUAAAUCCUCAGCAGAUUCAAUGAGAACUGGGCCAAUACCUAGGCUUUAAAGUGUCCCUUUUUGAAAACACACUAUGGGAAGAAAACUCAGAAAAAAAACAACUUAUCAAAAUCCAGAAUCGUAAGGUGAAUCAUGUCAAAUUUAAGCAAUGUUAAUAAAUCGUUAAAAUCAUUUUCAGCACAAGUUUAUAAACAGAAUAUUCAUAACAAACUAAUUUUUCAUGAUGUCCUUCAAACUGCAUAUGGUAUGUCAUCAAUUUGUCCCUACCCUACACUAGCCAUUUCAACCAAUCCAGAUUACAAUCUUCACCCAAACAUGAUCAUUGUUACAACCACAAGGAAAGCACAUCCAAUAUACAGUAAUUCAACCCAAGCCUGUUAUUGCAGCAUCUAAGAGAUUCCAAAUCAAAUACAAACAUGAAAGAUAACUAUUUCAAAUACCAAAUCAAUUGACAUAUUAUGAUUCACAUUAUGAAAGACACAAAAAUGAGGAAUGCUAUUGAAUCGCAAGAAAAUAUGCUUCCACCCUUUAAAUCUUGUUUUUCAUUUCAUUUCUUCCAAUCCAGCUUUACAUUAACUAAAGUUCAAAUAUGUGUACUUGGAUUUUGAAGGAACACAAAAACAAUGAGGGAUCAACAUCAUUAACAACAAAAAUCAGAACCAACAAUGAUCAAUAAACCAAUUUUCAAACCCCCAGCAAAUGAUGUGCAACAAUCAGAACUUAGUUUCAAUAGAAAAAUGACUUAAACUUCAAACCAAACUUCUACAAUCCACAUUCAAUCCAUUCUAACUCCAUAUGAGAGAUCAUUGAUUUUUCAGAAAUUAAAGAAAAGAAUAAAAAAACCUUGAACAAUUUUAGUGGAACAGUAAAACAGCUGUUUGCCUUUUUUCAG